GAUUGGCUUUGAAUGUUUUAACGACCUUUUCCACAUCGGCUUGACUUUGAUUGAGUAGCUUGUACAAAUUCCCAACUUGAAAUAACCGCAAAGUCCAUGGGGAUGGGGGAUUGUCACGUUUGCAAAUUCCGUUGGAAGCCUUUUGCUUGGCUUUCCCACAGAGUUGCAAUCGCCAUGGAAACCUGCAUGCGAAGAUCUCUAGCUUUUAGACACAUGAUCAAACAGCCUGCUCUCUUUAAAUUAGAACAAGAAACACCUUAUUAUCAGUAUAACAAAGAGAAUAAAGUGUAAUUAAUACAUAAAUUUAAGUAUCAAUAUGAAUGGGAUUAACACAUAUCAUUCUAUUUCCAACAUACACCUUAAAAAAUGGAAUACAUCAUUUCAAGUUUGAUAAAAUAGUAAGGUAAUGAAGUGAAUAAUUCUUACCUAUGUCUUUCAACAACCAAUUUUGAGCGCACAUUAGGCUUCUAGAGUACCCGCAUGAAGC
This 487-nucleotide long non-coding RNA is filed under the name Theobroma cacao (cacao). Its description in RNAcentral is "long non-coding RNA (TCAC_LNC005101)". Lineage: Eukaryota; Viridiplantae; Streptophyta; Magnoliopsida; Malvales; Malvaceae. The record is from RNAcentral.